GCCGCCGUGGCGCAACAGGUAGCGCACUCCCCCUGUAAGGGAGCGGUUGCGGGUUCGACCCCCGCCGACGGCU
This 73-nucleotide transfer RNA is filed under the name Candidatus Methanoculleus thermohydrogenotrophicum. Its description in RNAcentral is "tRNA-Thr". It matches the Rfam family "tRNA". From Rfam's summary of the family: Transfer RNA (tRNA) molecules are approximately 80 nucleotides in length. Their secondary structure includes four short double-helical elements and three loops (D, anti-codon, and T loops). Lineage: Archaea; Methanobacteriati; Methanobacteriota; Methanomicrobia; Methanomicrobiales; Methanomicrobiaceae. The record is from RNAcentral.